UACGAAGGGGGCUAGCGUUGCUCGGAAUCACUGGGCGUAAAGCGCACGUAGGCGGCUUUUUAAGUCAGAGGUGAAAUCCUGGAGCUCAACUCCAGAACUGCCUUUGAUACUGGAGAGCUUGAGUCCGGGAGAGGUGAGUGGAACUGCGAGUGUAGAGGUGAAAUUCGUAGAUAUUCGCAAGAACACCAGUGGCGAAGGCGGCUCACUGGCCCGGUACUGACGCUGAGGUGCGAAAGCGUGGGAGCAACAGG
RNAcentral lists this ribosomal RNA (251 nucleotides) under uncultured bacterium. RNAcentral's name for it is "partial 16S ribosomal RNA". It matches the Rfam family "Bacterial small subunit ribosomal RNA", at positions 524 to 776 of the family's 1533-position model. The record is from RNAcentral.